UACAGAAGCCCCGAGCGUUACCCGGAAUUACUGGGCGUAAAGCGCACGUAGGCGGAUUGUUAAGUGAGGGGUGAAAUCCCAGGGCUCAACCCUGGAACUGCCUCUCAUACUGGCAAUCUCGAGUUCGAGAGAGGUGAGUGGAAUUCCGAGUGUAGAGGUGAAAUUCGUAGAUAUUCGGAGGAACACCAGUGGCGAAGGCGGCUCACUGGCUCGAAACUGACGCUGAGGUGCGAAAGCGUGGGGAGCAAACAGG
Molecule: unclassified non-coding RNA, 253 nt
Filed under: uncultured Alphaproteobacteria bacterium
Lineage: Bacteria; Pseudomonadati; Pseudomonadota; Alphaproteobacteria
Description: contains 16S-23S intergenic spacer region
Rfam family: Bacterial small subunit ribosomal RNA
Source: RNAcentral